GACAUCUCCAAUGCCGACCCUUAAUAUUGACGUAUUUUUUUUGUCCGUGCGGCGAUGAUGACUAGUCCAAAAACACUGAUGUGAGAGCCAGCCUUGCAACCAUAUCCGUUAAGUGUCUUUCUAUGUAUGCUCAUAUCGCACUUGAGGAGAGAGAAAUGGCGUGGUGGCUUCUAGUUUAGGAGAGUUUGAACGUCCGGACACGUUCUCCAUACGUUUAGGU
This 220-nucleotide long non-coding RNA is filed under the name Hordeum vulgare. RNAcentral describes it as "long non-coding RNA (HVUL_LNC005134)". The record is from RNAcentral. Lineage: Eukaryota; Viridiplantae; Streptophyta; Magnoliopsida; Poales; Poaceae.